UGGGGAAUAUUGGACAAUGGGCGCAAGCCUGAUCCAGCCAUGCCGCGUGAGUGAUGAAGGCCCUAGGGUUGUAAAGCUCUUUCACCGGUGAAGAUAAUGACGGUAACCGGAGAAGAAGCCCCGGCUAACUUCGUGCCAGCAGCCGCGGUAAUAUGAAGGGGGCUAGCGUUGUUCGGAUUUACUGGGCGUAAAGCGCACGUAGGCGGACUUUUAAGUCAGGGGUGAAAUCCCGGGGCUCAACCCCGGAACUGCCUUUGAUACUGGAAGUCUUGAGUAUGGUAGAGGUGAGUGGAAUUCCGAGUGUAGAGGUGAAAUUCGUAGAUAUUCGGAGGAACACCAGUGGCGAAGGCGGCUCACUGGACCAUUACUGACGCUGGGGUGCGAAAGCGUGGGGAGCAAACAGG
This 404-nucleotide ribosomal RNA is filed under the name Actinomycetes bacterium. Its description in RNAcentral is "Actinobacteria bacterium partial 16S ribosomal RNA". It matches the Rfam family "Bacterial small subunit ribosomal RNA", at positions 355 to 776 of the family's 1533-position model. The record is from RNAcentral. Lineage: Bacteria; Bacillati; Actinomycetota; Actinomycetes.